AAAUAAUAUAUAUAGUCUAGGUCAUUUAAUAAAUCAAGCCAAUUAUUAGCAAAUAGCUAAUAAUCUUUUACCCAUAAUUAUUAAGUUCAAAUUAAAAUACUACUGAGUCCAAUUAAAUAAAUUAAGGGCCCAACUUAAUAAAUUAACUUCAUCAUCUUAUGUACUCCCAAGGUCUAACACAAUUAUAUUAUUGCUAAUCCUAUUGAUAUUAAUAGGCCCAAAUACUAUUUAAACCCAAUAUGAAAUUCUCAAAGCCCAAUUAAUCAAAAUAAAUUAAAAAGUAAAAUAGAACUUAAGUCUAGAAUAUACUAAAUCAACAUCUCUCUUCUUCCUUCUUUUUCAUUUUACGCAAACCCAUUUCUCUCUGUUCUCUCACCUCGUCUCUCACUUUCCCUCUCCCUCUCGCCCGGCGACGUCGCCAGUCCUCGCCGCCUCCGGCGCGGCGAGGCCGGCGCCUCUCUCCCCUUCUUCUUCCUUUCCUUCCUUUUCUUCUCCUCUUUCUCCUGAAUUUAGAAUAGAUCUAGGGUUUCAAAAUUUCCUGAAGUUUGUUCCUCCGGUGAACUCCGCCACUGCCGCCGCCGUGCUCGUCGCGCCGCCACCCCCUCUGAUUCAGGAAUCGGUGAUUCAAGAUGGUUUGAGAUGGUUUCAUCGGCAGUUCAUCUACAGCUCAAGACUCUGUUUUUAUAAGACUCAGCCUUCUGUUUGGAUUAUUAUUGAUUUAUAAACUGUUGUAACUAGAUGUAUUCUUUAGAUGUUAAAGAAAAUUGAUGUUAUCUCUACUAUUCUUGAUUUCUAUCUAAUGAGUGAUUACCGAG
Long non-coding RNA from Salvia miltiorrhiza (redroot sage), 815 nucleotides. RefSeq lists it as uncharacterized. Lineage: Eukaryota; Viridiplantae; Streptophyta; Magnoliopsida; Lamiales; Lamiaceae. The transcript has 2 exons. The record is from RefSeq and is a predicted model, not a curated record.